RNAcentral lists this ribosomal RNA (434 nucleotides) under uncultured bacterium. RNAcentral's name for it is "partial 16S ribosomal RNA". It matches the Rfam family "Bacterial small subunit ribosomal RNA", at positions 29 to 507 of the family's 1533-position model. The record is from RNAcentral.
AACGAACGCUGGCGGCAUGCCUAACACAUGCAAGUCGAACGAGACCUUCGGGUCUAGUGGCGCACGGGUGCGUAACGCGUGGGAACCUGCCCUUAGGUUCGGAAUAACUCCCCGAAAGGGGUGCUAAUACCGGAUAAUGUCUUCGGACCAAAGAUUUAUCGCCUUUGGAUGGGCCCGCGUUGGAUUAGCUAGUUGGUAGGGUAAAAGCCUACCAAGGCGACGAUCCAUAGCUGGUCUGAGAGGAUGAUCAGCCACACUGGGACUGAGACACGGCCCAGACUCCUACGGGAGGCAGCAGUGGGGAAUAUUGGACAAUGGGCGAAAGCCUGAUCCAGCAAUGCCGCGUGAGUGAUGAAGGCCUUAGGGUUGUAAAGCUCUUUUACCCCGGGAUGAUAAUGACAGUACCGGGAGAAUAAGCUCCGGCUAACUCCGUG